AGCAGCCGCGGUAAUUCCAGCUCCAAUAGCGUAUAUUAAAGUUGUUGCAGUUAAAAGCUCGUAGUUGAAUUUCGGGGUUAGUAGGUUGGUCAUGCCUCUGGUAUGUACUGGUCUCACUGAUUCCUCCUUCUUGAUGAGCCGUAGUGCCAUUAAUUUGGUGUUGCGGGGAAUUUGGACUGUUACUUUGAAAAAUUAGAGUGUUUAAAGCAAGCUAACGCUUGAAUACAUUAGCAUGGAAUAAUGAAAUAGGACGUUCGAUCCUAUUUUGUUGGUUUCUAGGAUUGACGUAAUGAUUAAUAGGGAUAGUUGGGGGCAUUAGUAUUCAAUUGUCAGAGGUGAAAUUCUUGGAUUUAUUGAAGACUAACUACUGCGAAAGCAUUUGCCAAGGAUGUUUUCAUUAAUCAAGAACGAAAGUUAGGGAUCGAAGACGAUCAGAUACCGUCGUAGUCUUAACCAUAAACUAUGCCGACUAGGGAUCGGAUGAUGUUAAUUUUUAAUGUAUUCUAUUCCCCGG
This 514-nucleotide unclassified non-coding RNA is filed under the name uncultured Glomus. RNAcentral describes it as "SSU rRNA". It matches the Rfam family "Eukaryotic small subunit ribosomal RNA", at positions 569 to 1092 of the family's 1831-position model. The record is from RNAcentral. Lineage: Eukaryota; Fungi; Glomeromycota; Glomeromycetes; Glomerales; Glomeraceae.